GGUUAAGUUAGAAAGGGCGCACGGUGGAUGCCUUGACACUAGGAGUCGAUGAAGGACGGGACUAACGCCGAUAUGCUUCGGGGAGCUGUAAGUAAGCUUUGAUCCGAAGAUUUCCGAAUGGGGAAACCCACCAUACGUAAUGGUAUGGUAUCCUUAUCUGAAUACAUAGGGUAAGGAAGACAGACCCAGGGAACUGAAACAUCUAAGUACCUGGAGGAAGAGAAAGCAAAUGCGAUUUCCUGAGUAGCGGCGAGCGAAACGGAACAUAGCCCAAACCAAGAGGCUUGCCUCUUGGGGUUGUAGGACAUUCUAUACGGAGUUACAAAGGAACGAGGUAGACGAAGCGACCUGGAAAGGUCCGUCGUAGAGGGUAACAACCCCGUAGUCGAAACUUCGUUCUCUCUUGAAUGUAUCCUGAGUACGGCGGAACACGUGAAAUUCCGUCGGAAUCUGGGAGGACCAUCUCCCAAGGCUAAAUACUCCCUAGUGAUCGAUAGUGAACCAGUACCGUGAGGGAAAGGUGAAAAGCACCCCGGAAGGGGAGUGAAAGAGAUCCUGAAACCGUGUGCCUACAAAUAGUCAGAGCCCGUUAACGGGUGAUGGCGUGCCUUUUGUAGAAUGAACCGGCGAGUUACGAUCCCGUGCGAGGUUAAGCUGAAGAGGCGGAGCCGCAGCGAAAGCGAGUCUGAAUAGGGCGUUUAGUACGUGGUCGUAGACCCGAAACCAGGUGAUCUACCCAUGUCCAGGGUGAAGUUCAGGUAACACUGAAUGGAGGCCCGAACCCACGCACGUUGAAAAGUGCGGGGAUGAGGUGUGGGUAGCGGAGAAAUUCCAAUCGAACCUGGAGAUAGCUGGUUCUCCCCGAAAUAGCUUUAGGGCUAGCCUUAAGUGUAAGAGUCUUGGAGGUAGAGCACUGAUUGGACUAGGGGUCCUCAUCGGAUUACCGAAUUCAGUCAAACUCCGAAUGCCAAUGACUUAUCCUUAGGAGUCAGACUGCGAGUGAUAAGAUCCGUAGUCAAAAGGAAACAGCCCAGACCGCCAGCUAAGGUCCCAAAGUGUGUAUUAAGUGGAAAAGGAUGUGGAGUUGCUUAGACAACUAGGAUGUUGGCUUAGAAGCAGCCACCAUUUAAAGAGUGCGUAAUAGCUCACUAGUCGAGUGACUCUGCGCCGAAAAUGUACCGGGGCUAAAUACACCACCGAAGCUGCGGAUUGAUACCGAAUGGUAUCAGUGGUAGGGGAGCGUUCUAAGGACAGUGAAGUCAGACCGGAAGGACUGGUGGAGUGCUUAGAAGUGAGAAUGCCGGUAUGAGUAGCGAAAGACGGGUGAGAAUCCCGUCCACCGAAUGCCUAAGGUUUCCUGAGGAAGGCUCGUCCGCUCAGGGUUAGUCAGGACCUAAGCCGAGGCCGACAGGCGUAGGCGAUGGACAACAGGUUGAUAUUCCUGUACCACCUCUUUAUCGUUUGAGCAAUGGAGGGACGCAGAAGGAUAGAAGAAGCGUGCGAUUGGUUGUGCACGUCCAAGCAGUUAGGCUGAUAAGUAGGCAAAUCCGCUUAUCGUAAAGGCUGAGCUGUGAUGGGGAAGCUCCUUAUGGAGCGAAGUCUUUGAUUCCCCGCUGCCAAGAAAAGCUUCUAGCGAGAUAAAAGGUGCCUGUACCGCAAACCGACACAGGUAGGCGAGGAGAGAAUCCUAAGGUGUGCGAGAGAACUCUGGUUAAGGAACUCGGCAAAAUGACCCCGUAACUUCGGGAGAAGGGGUGCUUUCUUAACGGAAAGCCGCAGUGAAUAGGCCCAAGCGACUGUUUAGCAAAAACACAGCUCUCUGCGAAGCCGUAAGGCGAAGUAUAGGGGGUGACACCUGCCCGGUGCUGGAAGGUUAAGGAGAGGGGUUAGCGUAAGCGAAGCUCUGAACUGAAGCCCCAGUAAACGGCGGCCGUAACUAUAACGGUCCUAAGGUAGCGAAAUUCCUUGUCGGGUAAGUUCCGACCCGCACGAAAGGUGUAACGAUUUGGGCACUGUCUCAACCAGAGACUCGGUGAAAUUAUAGUACCUGUGAAGAUGCAGGUUACCCGCGACAGGACGGAAAGACCCCGUGGAGCUUUACUGUAGCCUGAUAUUGAAUUUUGGUACAGUUUGUACAGGAUAGGCGGGAGCCUUUGAAACCGGAGCGCUAGCUUCGGUGGAGGCGCUGGUGGGAUACCGCCCUGACUGUAUUGAAAUUCUAACCUACGGGUCUUAUCGACCCGGGAGACAGUGUCAGGUGGGCAGUUUGACUGGGGCGGUCGCCUCCUAAAGUGUAACGGAGGCGCCCAAAGGUUCCCUCAGAAUGGUUGGAAAUCAUUCGUAGAGUGCAAAGGCAUAAGGGAGCUUGACUGCGAGACCUACAAGUCGAGCAGGGACGAAAGUCGGGCUUAGUGAUCCGGUGGUUCCGCAUGGAAGGGCCAUCGCUCAACGGAUAAAAGCUACCCCGGGGAUAACAGGCUUAUCUCCCCAAGAGUCCACAUCGACGGGGAGGUUUGGCACCUCGAUGUCGGCUCAUCGCAUCCUGGGGCUGUAGUCGGUCCCAAGGGUUGGGCUGUUCGCCCAUUAAAGCGGUACGCGAGCUGGGUUCAGAACGUCGUGAGACAGUUCGGUCCCUAUCCGUCGUGGGCGUAGGAAAUUUGAGAGGAGCUGUCCUUAGUACGAGAGGACCGGGAUGGACGCACCGCUGGUGUACCAGUUGUUCUGCCAAGGGCAUAGCUGGGUAGCUAUGUGCGGAAGGGAUAAGUGCUGAAAGCAUCUAAGCAUGAAGCCCCCCUCAAGAUGAGAUUUCCCAUAGCGUAAGCUAGUAAGAUCCCUGAAAGAUGAUCAGGUUGAUAGGUUCGAGGUGGAAGCAUGGUGACAUGUGGAGCUGACGAAUACUAAUAGAUCGAGGACUUAACCAU
Molecule: ribosomal RNA, 2921 nt
Filed under: Bacillus paranthracis
Lineage: Bacteria; Bacillati; Bacillota; Bacilli; Caryophanales; Bacillaceae
Description: 23S ribosomal RNA
Rfam family: Bacterial large subunit ribosomal RNA
Source: RNAcentral